AUUCUCUAAUCUUUUAGUGGGCCGGCCCAAGGUAUUGUCCAGGCAAUACUGGGCCCUCCGCCCCUACGUGCACCGGCGGCCGAGGUGCCCACAGCGGGUUGAGCGCGCUAGGCAGAGCGAGAUCUGUGGCAACGCUGAGGAAGCGUGACGCGCGAGUGCAGGGGCCUGGCAGAGCGGGGCGAGCAAGCGCUGCGACGGCGUUGGAUGGAGGCCACCGUUGAUGGAGGGCGGCGUGGGAGAGAGUCUGUGCGGCGGCCUGGGAGAGGAGUCUGCGCUUGGACCGUGUACAGCAAACCCAAAAUCACGUCGCCUUGUUCCCAUUCUCACGUACAGGCGCACGGAGAAGACAAGCUCCAUCGAUGGCUGCGCACGGCAGCGACCCCGGCGUCGAAGGAGAGCGACCAGAGACCUUCGUCGUGGGAGAUAGCGGCGGCGGGCGUGGAGGGUUCGCGGCACAGUCCUCUCGGGUCUCGGCGAGUAGCAGCGCCCUUCCGUUCAAGCUUCCUCGUGCCGACACCUAGCAGUCACGGCCGAGGCAUUGCACCACAGGUUCCGGCGAUGUCGUCCAGAGCCGCAUCUCCGACGGGUGAAGUCUCCCUCGCGCCGGCGAUGACCGCAGACGCAGGGACCUGUCGAUCCCCAUCUUCGGCUGGUACGCAUGUGAUCCCCUUCACGGCUUCAUCGGCGAACAGGCCUUCAGCGAUUCCAAUUACCUUACUAGCUUGUCUGGCUGAAGUCCCUGAUAGCAUAUUCAUGGCCAAUCACUGCAUACCAAGGGCAUGAUCGUAGGUGUAUUAGAAUAGAUUUUUCCAGUUAGAGACGUGUAAUAAUCUCCAUGGUGUGGUCCUAUAUUUUCCAUAGAGUCGUAUAUUUUCCAUUGCAGGAUUUUUCUUUUCUUGAUCCGUGACUGAUACGUGACCUUUGCAUAUUUCUGUACUUGUCUGUUCAUGCUGUGCAAAAAAAAUGUCUGAAAAGUAA
RNA transcript from Zea mays, 978 nucleotides. RefSeq lists it as uncharacterized. The transcript has 2 exons. The record is from RefSeq and is a predicted model, not a curated record. Lineage: Eukaryota; Viridiplantae; Streptophyta; Magnoliopsida; Poales; Poaceae.